ACUGAGGCUGCAAAUCCUCAGAAGUUUGUUUCCUUUUUUCAGUUCAAACAUGAAUUUAUGAGAAAGACACAUUGUAUGUCCCCCACCUCUGCCUGUCCAGAGCCAUUUAUUUCAAAGCAAGAAGGUUUUUGUGCUCUGAAGUGGAAGUUUAAAAGGAAAUUAUCAGGAAUCCCAACAAACUUGCCACUGGCAAGAACAUUUAUUAGUGAGGCACUGCCAAAUCCCCCAAGCUGUCCAUGCACAAAGGGGUUGGGUGAUCCCUCGUGCAGCCCCCACAGCUGCAGCAGGGCUUGGCACAGCGUUUCUGCUGAAGAUGUGAGGGUUUGGUCCUGCAGGAGCAGCUGCAUGGGUUUUGCAAUGCAGGCACUCAGCUGCAGACUCCAAACUGUGAAUCCCUACUACCAGACUCUGAGCUCCUGAAGCUGAUUUUACCACUUCAAUAAUAAGGGAAAAUUAUGUGGAUUGGUAGCAGAAGAGUUAUAUGGUGAGUGGAGAGGAAUACAUCUCCAGAGCCACGUUACUGCUUCAGACACGGCUGCAGCAGGCGACAGCGCCCAGCUCUCCCAGCACAGACAGCUACAAUGAAUGACCCAAGAGGCCCUGGUAAGAGGCCACCAGGCCCUCCAGGAAGAGCAAGAGAGGCUGAGAAGGCAUUUUUCUGAUCAAAAUGUCUUCAGCUGCUCUACAGGGGCAGGAGCUGUAAGAUUUAUUUAUCAGGACAGCGUUUGUGGAACCUCCUGUCACUGCCCCCCAGGAUGAGAAGCAGCCUUCCAAGAGAGACAGGGUGGCUGCACUGGCCCCAAAAAGGUGCAGGAAGCACAUCAACAGUUGUUUGCAUUCGUGGUUUCAGUGGGGACAGGAUUUCUUAAUUAGCAAGACCUUCUGAAAAUAUCCUGGUACAGAACCACGGCUAAAAUCAACCAGCAGACAAAGCCAAGUGGAUUUCUGCACAUCUAAAGGCAGGAAAAGAAAUAGCACGAGAUCCUCGCAGUGCUGCAGAGGAGGAUUUUGUGGCUGCUGAGCAAAACCUGUGUGCAGCAUCUCUGCAUCCCGGGAAAGGUGGGAUGACCCAGUGGCUGGAGCAGAAAGAACAUCUUGGAUUACGUUGCUGCAAAUGAGAGAUUUCAGCAGUGGUAUCAGAUGAGCUGCAGGUAAGCAGCAGUUUAAUGUCUUUUUUGGCAGCUUCUUUAUUCUCUCUCCACUUUGCACAAACAAACCAUCUCUGUGAGGAAAUUAAUUUUCCUUUUGAGCCACAGCAUUUGUCAACAUGGCUUCCCAAUAAUCCUCUCCAUGGCAGCCACACCGAGCCCUCACCUCAAACCUGCUGCCCAGUCUGGUUCAUUAAGGGAUCUUCCCUCCUCUUGCAGGGCAGGAGCUGUGCCCUGCAAGGAUCCUAAAUCCCAGCGUGACACUCAGCUACCCUUAACUCCUUCCUAAUCAGCCCUGUGGAAUUAGGGUGACAGGGAAUGAAACCCCAGGCUCAGAGGGUGUGGGAUGUAGGGCCCUUCUGCCCUCAUUAGGCAAUCUGGAGCAUCAUCCACCAAAACCAGUCCAGGGUAUAGGGCGGCAAAGAGAAACUUCAAAUCACUUGAACUGCCUCUGUCCUUUCCACGUUCAUUCUUUUUGGCCUUGAAAGGCUCUUGGACCAAAGUCUCACUUUAUAUUAAAAACAACUACCACAAAGCCCUUCAGAUCAAAGCCUGACAUGGGCCAGGCUGUACUCCCUGUGGGUUGCCAGCACAGGACCCUGCCCAGGAUUCACCCUGCCCCAGUUUAACCAGUGGAGGCAGGAGAAGGAGCUGACUGUGCCAGGGAAGCAGCACCAACUUUCCCAGCCCCACACCCAACUGCUCCCCUUCGGUGCCUGCUGGUUUGGGAGACUUUGACUUGCAGCCUCCUUAACUGCUUCAUUUCUGCUAUUUUGCACUAUCCCACUCCCAGCAGCAUCACCAAACUCUCCAGCAGUGUGAAGGCGGGUGAGCUGAGAUGGCCCUGCUGCCAAGCUAAACAGCAUCAGGGCUCGUUUUACUGCUUAGAAAUCUGAAAGGAAUCAAGCAGGUCGAUGAAUAAUCCAGUUUAAAAAUCAUAACAGAGGGGCUGGGUAACUGUAUACAACACUGGCCUAAAUUCAUACAUCAAGUGACGAACUGUAAUGAAAAAUUAAAGGGCCCUGCUUGGCACAAGUUGGGUGCUGUAUGAUUUGAAUCUGGGAAGCUUCACAUGGAGCAGCUCUGCCCGUGUCCCUCGUGCCUGCACAGAAAUGGUGCAGGGGUUCAGACAACCUGCACAGGCAUCAAUUUUUUUCCCCCCAGCUUGUGGCUGUUCAAGCUCAGCAGUGCUAAAACGUGACAUGGGCUCGCAGAGGACACGUGCAGCCCGUGGAGUGAACUGCAACCUGAACAGCUCUCCCAGCAGCGGGGGCUCUGUGUCCUUCUAGCAAUAAAUUCCUCCUGGACAGUGUUUCGGGGGAUUGCUAGGAUUUGAGGAGAGAGGAGGCUGGCUGGAAGUGAGACAGGCUCCAGGUUUAUCCUUGAAAGCUCCUGCACUGCAGAGCCUGGGGCUGCCUUUGGCAGCCUGCCUGGAGGAAGAUGUCAGUGGAGGCUGAAGGCUGCCUCGUGCUGUAUGAACCCACCAAUCCCCUCCUCGGCCAGCUAAGUUGGAGAUAAAUCUCCCUAUUAGCAAUGCAUAAAGCAGGCCAAAAUUUGAACAGCUUCUUAAGCAGGAGGUGAAUCAAAAGCUCAAAAUUACUUAGAAUAAGUCCUUUCUGUGCUCCGGGCUAGAAAGUGGUUGUUUUGGAGCUUUCCCAUAGUGUGCCUGGCCUGCCCGCCGGGAGAGAGGGGUGCCGAGCAAGACAGCAAAAUCAGGUAAAAAAUAACCCCAUCCCCAACGUCAGCAGCAGAGCCGAGAGGAACCAGAAGUCCUGAGCUGUUUCGAAGUUGUGUUAAAUAAUAAAGCAGAGAAAUGAAUAAAUUAGCCGAGCAUCUAUUUAGGUCAGCCCUCUCCGUUUCUCCCGGCCGCCUCCGUGCGCCUCCUCCCCGCAGCCAUCAGCCGCUCGGUGCGCGCUGUGCCUGCGGCUCCGCUCCCUCCCGGGACCCGCCGGGCUCUCGGCUCAAGGACGGCUCGAGCAGGUGUCACAUCGCCUGCACACGUUCACCCCAGCCUUCGGAAGCGGCAGGCGAGCUUCCUUUUCCGUUUCUGGGGCAAGAAGUGUUCUGGAAAAUCCCGUUAAAGCAGCAGGCGUGGGCUGCGCACACGGCUGCUCCCUUCCUGGCGGAGCUGCAGGUCCUGCUCCUCACCCAGCUAUUUCCCAUUCCCAGCUCCCAGCCACGGCAGCACUUCCACCUUUGCAGGUCGUUCCCCACCUUGCAGGUGCCCCAGGCUCGGUUAUGUGAUUGCAGUUGUCAUCUUGAUUUGGGGACAUCCAGCCAGAUGGACCAGGCUGAUUGACACAGAUGGAGAAUCAGCUUUUAAACCCCUAAGCUCCCCUCAAAUAAUUCAAAUGCUUCCAGAAAAAUGGAACAACCACGCAGUUCUGUAUAUAUGUCCUUAUUUACAUGUUUCCCAAGCACGAAAAGCCCUCUUUGAUGCCCAGAACAUCUCGUGGGUUUCAGCUAUAAUCAAGCUAGAUAAACACUGACCAAGAUGGAAUUAGCUACAUCAAGGGCUGCUCCAUCUCAGCCCAACUCCUGCUGGUCCUCCCAAACCCCACAGGUAGCUGGAGAAGGUCUCCAGAGAUUAACCCAG
Molecule: long non-coding RNA, 3744 nt
Organism: Taeniopygia guttata (zebra finch)
Lineage: Eukaryota; Metazoa; Chordata; Aves; Passeriformes; Estrildidae
Source: Ensembl